This 459-nucleotide long non-coding RNA is filed under the name Trifolium pratense (red clover). RNAcentral's name for it is "long non-coding RNA (TPRA_LNC004733)". The record is from RNAcentral. Lineage: Eukaryota; Viridiplantae; Streptophyta; Magnoliopsida; Fabales; Fabaceae.
CAGUUCGCAGUAGUACAUUGAAUCAAAAGUUUAGUCGAUACCCAAACAUACAAACGGGCUCGACCACUACAUGUGGCUGUUUGUGCCUAGAUGGACAUUUUUAUGAAAACUGCAUAAACUCAAAAAUAAAUCAAUCCAAACUGUCCCCAAGUUUAUGAAACCUCAUAAGAAUAAAUUAUUAAAAUAGCCAAAUAAAAUAAAAGGGGGUUUUAUUCAAACUUACCAUCCUAUCACCUGCUGAAUUUUAGGACCAAAUUCUUCAACCUUAGGACCAAACCUCCCCUUUAUUAAAAUCCCUCCCUUCCCCUCCCCUCUGUUGAACCAAACAGACCCUUAGGACCAAAUUCUUCAACCUGAAAUAAGAUAAAUCACAAUCAUUAUUUGAAUUUUUUUAAAAAAAAGAAAAGGAUAUUUAUAAUGAAAAGAAAAAGAAAAAGAAAGAAUAACCUCAGUUGGGGU